Molecule: non-coding RNA, 70 nt
Organism: Cordylochernes scorpioides
Lineage: Eukaryota; Metazoa; Arthropoda; Arachnida; Pseudoscorpiones; Chernetidae
Source: the annotation of a GenBank genome assembly
UGCAUCAGCGGAAUCAAAACCUGGGCCACCCGCGUGGCAGGCGGGCAUUCUACCACUGUACCACCGAUAC